UGAGGAAUAUUGGUCAAUGGGGGCAACCCUGAACCAGCCAAGUCGCGUGAAGGAUGAAGGUCUUAUGGAUUGUAAACUUCUUUUACACGGGAAUAAAGCGGGGGACGUGUCCCUCUUUGCAUGUACCGUGUGAAUAAGGAUCGGCUAACUCCGUGCCAGCAGCCGCGGUAAUACGGAGGAUCCGAGCGUUAUCCGGAUUUAUUGGGUUUGAAGGGUGCGCAGGCGGGAUGUUAAGUCGGCGGUGAAAUUUUGCAGCUCAACUGUAAAAGUGCCUUCGAUACUGGCCUUCUUGAGUGUGGAUGAAGUAGGCGGAAUUUGUGGUGUAGCGGUGAAAUGCUUAGAUAUCACGAGGAACUCCGAUUGCGCAGGCAGCUUACUAAGCCACAACUGACGCUCAUGCACGAAGGCGUGGGGAUCAAACA
Molecule: ribosomal RNA, 422 nt
Filed under: uncultured bacterium
Lineage: Bacteria
Description: bacterial SSU rRNA
Rfam family: Bacterial small subunit ribosomal RNA
Source: RNAcentral